This 497-nucleotide ribosomal RNA is filed under the name uncultured bacterium. Its description in RNAcentral is "partial 16S ribosomal RNA". It matches the Rfam family "Bacterial small subunit ribosomal RNA", at positions 28 to 507 of the family's 1533-position model. The record is from RNAcentral.
GAUGAACGCUGGCGGCGUGCCUAAUACAUGCAAGUCGAGCGAACAGACGAGGAGCUUGCUCCUCUGACGUUAGCGGCGGACGGGUGAGUAACACGUGGAUAACCUACCUAUAAGACUGGGAUAACUUCGGGAAACCGGAGCUAAUACCGGAUAAUAUAUUGAACCGCAUGGUUCAAUAGUGAAAGACGGUUUUGCUGUCACUUAUAGAUGUAUCCGCGCCGCAUUAGCUAGUUGGUAAGGUAACGGCUUACCAAGGCAACGAUGCGUAGCCGACCUGAGAGGGUGAUCGGCCACACUGGAACUGAGACACGGUCCAGACUCCUACGGGAGGCAGCAGUAGGGAAUCUUCCGCAAUGGGCGAAAGCCUGACGGAGCAACGCCGCGUGAGUGAUGAAGGUCUUCGGAUCGUAAAACUCUGUUAUUAGGGAAGAACAAAUGUGUAAGUAACUAUGCACGUCUUGACGGUACCUAAACAGAAAGCCACGGCUAACUACGUG